This is a long non-coding RNA of Tribolium castaneum (red flour beetle), 2919 nucleotides long. RefSeq lists it as uncharacterized. The record is from RefSeq and is a predicted model, not a curated record. The transcript has 2 exons. Lineage: Eukaryota; Metazoa; Arthropoda; Insecta; Coleoptera; Tenebrionidae.
AGAACUUGAACAAGUCAUGAAUUCUUCCAUCUGGCCCUGUGGAGUUACUAUAAAUCGUUUUUUCUUCAGGCGCCCCCAAAACAACAAUCCACCAAACCAGAGUGUAGUGGCGUAACUAUCUAGAAGCCUUUUUGCUGUCUGAUGGCCCUUUUGAAGUACUAUGUAUCAAUGAGCAUUGGAUGACGGCUAAUGAAAUCGAGGUUCUUAAAUUAGGAAAUUAUUGUACAGUUUCUAGCUUUUGCAGAACUUUGCGCUAUCAUGGUGGAGUAAGUAUUUUUGUUCAUAAUUCCAUGACUCAUUGCAAAUCUUUGAGUUUUAAUAGUAUUGAGUUUGAUUUUGAAGUUUCUGGAUGUUUAUUAAAUGACAACUUAAAUGUAGUUACACUGUAUCGUUCACCUUCGGGGAAUUUUGAUGUUUUUCUGGAAAAAUUAAAUUUAAUGCUUUCGUCUUUAACCAAAACCAAUAAUAAAAUUAUUGUAACAGGCGAUUUCAAUGUGAAAUUUGGCACUUCGGAUAAGCUUGCUGUUGCUUUGGUUAAUACUUUUCUUUCAUAUGGUUUAUACUCAACUGUUUUUACUCCAACUCGAGGAAAUUCCUGCCUCGAUAACAUUUUCACUAGCUUUCAAAUCAAUGAUUAUCAAGUAACAACUCAUGAUCCAGGAUUAUCUGAUCAUUGUGGUGUAUGUAUGAGUGUCUUUGUUCCUACUUCGUCUCUAGUGGCAAAUGAAAGUUCUAAUACCAAAUAUAGACCUAUAACUACUUUAGGAUUAUUCCACCUAUAUAACUUUAUUGAAAAUAUCAACUGGGAUUUUAUCAACAAUACUAACAAUGAUGUUGAAGACUUAUUUACUCAAUUUAACAGUAUUCUAGUACAUUAUGUAUCUAUUUGUUUUCCUGAAAAAAUUUUUUCCACUCGAGCAUCAAAAAAUUGGUUUAAUGACAAUUUGCGAGCUUUACGUAACAUGCAAACUCUGCUUUUUCAGCUUCAAAACAAACAAAUUAUUGAUAAAGAGGUUUACACUGAUUUCAGGAAAUUCUAUCGCAGUGAAAUUGCAAAAGCUUUAGUUAAAUUUCAUGAUAACAUGAUCAACAACGUCCCUAACAAACAAAAAGCAUUGUGGGAUAUUGUCAACACAAAGAGAAAAAAUUCUGUUAAAUUGCCUACGAAUCUGUCGCCUGACACUAUCAAUAACUAUUUUACUAACAUUGCUGCCAAUACAAUUAACGCGUUACCCAAAACAUCAAAUAUUUUAACAUCGUUUGAAACUGACUCUCGAUUUUCUUUCCAUGAAGUUUCGUAUAACGAAGUUAGGGAUGCCAUUAAUCAUUUGAAGAAAUCUAAUAGUCGUGAUGCCUACAAUAUUAGUUCAAAAAUUCUAAAAUCGUUAGUAAAUCUUAUAGUUAUUCCUCUGACUAAAAUCAUUAAUAGGUGUAUUAGAGAAAGUUUAUUUCCAGCAGUUCUAAAAAUUUCCAAAGUUGUACCGGUUUUUAAGAAAGGAGAUCCGAAUGACAUCAGUAAUUAUAGACCUAUUUCUCUAGUGCCUAUUUUAGCAAAGGUUUUUGAGUUUAUUUUAAAAAAGCAAAUCAACUCGUAUUUUGAGAAUAAUAGUCUCUACUCGCAGUUCCAAUUUGGUUUUAGAUGUAAUCACUCAACAUCCCUAGCUAUUAACUACCUUAGUGAAAAAAUUUUGUCUAGUUUUGAAAAUAAGGAAAAUACCUAUGUUUGCUGUUUGGACUUAACAAAAGCAUUUGAUUGUGUUGAGCAUGGUAUAUUGUUACAAAAAUUAAAAUCGUAUGGAUUCUGUGUCAGAAGUAUUAAUUUGAUGAAUUCAUACUUAAUAAAUAGAUGUCAGUUCGUUUCUGCUCACAAUAUUAAUUCCAACAAAAUGGAAAUUAAAUUUGGUGUACCGCAAGCAUCGGUCCUAGGACCGACUCUAUUUCUCAUCUUUAUAAAUGACCUGCCACUUUCUAUUAAAGAUACUAAUUUCUUACUGUUUGCUGACGACACCACUAUCUAUGGCGCUUUUGAUUCAAAAGAGGCUCUGGAUCACAUAAAAACUUGUGUUGAAACCAAAAUUAAAGACUGGUUUAUUGGUAACAAACUUACCGUUAAUUGUGCCAAAACUCAAGAAAUUAUUUUUUCCUUAAACAAAUCAUUUAUUACCCCUUCUUUUAUUAAGCUGUUAGGUGUUUUUCUGGAUUGUGGAUUGACUUGGGAAACUCAUUGCGACUACUUAGUUACCAAACUUUCUAAAAAAUUGUUCUUGUUUAGGCAGUUGGUAUCUACCUUAUCGACUAAAACUUUAUUAUCAGUUUAUCAUGCCAUAUUUCACAGUGUUCUUUCAUAUGCCAUCCUUGCUUGGGGUCAUUCGCCACAUACAGCUAAAUUAUUCAAAAUACAAAGAAAAUGUAUCAGAAUUAUUGCUGGCUGUCACUAUCAGAGUGACUGUCGUCAAUAUUUCAGUAACUUCAAAAUUUUAACGGUUCCCUGCACUUAUAUUUUGCAAUGUCUUCUAUAUACUCAUCAAAACUUAAACAAAUAUGAUUCGUUUGAUCAUGCAUACUCCACCAGAUUCCGGCAUUUACUCAGACCAAAUUUUCUGCGAUUAUCACGUACUAGAAACAGCACAAGUUAUUACUGUAUUAAAUUAUUUAACAUGUUACCUGACACCUACAAAAACCUUGAGUUCAAGGCUUUCAAAAACUGUGUUAAAUCUUUCCUGCUACAAGAGGCAUUUUACUCUGUUGAUGAAUUCAGUAAUUAUUUUUGUAAAAUGUCAUCUUAACUAAGUUCUCUUAUAUAAUUAUUAUUAUCUGCUUUUGUAUACGGUUAAAGUGUAUUUUCUUGUUUUCUUUUCUUUCUUGGUGACGUAUGUAAGAUACUUUGUAUUUGUAACAUCAAUAAACAUUAUUAUUAUU